RNAcentral lists this non-coding RNA (29 nucleotides) under Mus musculus (house mouse). The record is from RNAcentral. Lineage: Eukaryota; Metazoa; Chordata; Mammalia; Rodentia; Muridae.
UAACUGAGUCUUUGGUACCGUGCCUCUGG